UGGGCUGGCCAGAAAGUUCGUUCAGGUUUUCCAUAACAUUACGAAAAACCCAAACAAACUUUUUGGCCAGUCCAAU
This 76-nucleotide microRNA precursor is filed under the name Tursiops truncatus (common bottlenose dolphin). RNAcentral's name for it is "miRNA (ENSTTRG00000024947.1)". Lineage: Eukaryota; Metazoa; Chordata; Mammalia; Artiodactyla; Delphinidae. The record is from RNAcentral.